Molecule: ribosomal RNA, 333 nt
Filed under: uncultured bacterium
Lineage: Bacteria
Description: bacterial SSU rRNA
Rfam family: Bacterial small subunit ribosomal RNA
Source: RNAcentral
AACGAACGCUGGCGGCAGGCUUAACACAUGCAAGUCGAACGAUCUCUUCGGAGAUAGUGGCAGACGGGUGAGUAACGCGUGGGAACCUACCUUAUUCUACGGAAUAACACAGAGAAAUUUGUGCUAAUACCGUAUACGCCCUUUGGGGGAAAGAUUUAUCGGAGUAAGAUGGGCCCGCGUUGGAUUAGCUAGUUGGUGGGGUAAUGGCCUACAAGGCGACGAUCUAUAGCUGGUCUGAGAGGAUGAUCAGCACACUGGACCAGCACGGCCCAGACUCCUACGGAGCAGCAGUGGGAAUUGGACAAUGGGCCAAGCCUGAUCCAGCCAUGCCGC